GUGGGGAAAACAGCAUAGGCUCAGGUCCAUGGCAUCCAACUCAAAGAACUUACCAGAAGCAUAUCACUCCUCAACUCUCCAUGCAGGCAUUGCAAUGAGGUUUCAGAGUGCUGUUUGCAGCCAUAUUUUUGAGUAUCACUGAGUAGGAGUAAGGCUUCAAAAAUUAGGCACUAAACUUUCUUUAAAAUGAAACUACCCAGAAAAGCACAUUUGAGGCAACAGCCAAAGUUAUUGGCAUACACAAUAGGCAGACACAGUAAUUUUGUGGCCCUUCAAAAUUAUAGCUACUAUAGAUAUAUACAGUUUUAUUCUCAAAUCUUCAACAAUAUCCAGGAUUGCAUCAAAAGAGGUGUGGCCAGCAGGGAGAGGGAGGGGACUGUCUCCCUCUACUCUGCCGUUAUGAGGCCCCGUCUGUAGUACAGUGUAAGACCUGGGAUCCCCUGUACAAGAGGGAUGAGGAGGCAUUGGAAUUGGUCCAGAGAAGGGCACAAAGAUGAUGAGAGGGCUGGAGUACCUCUCUAGUGAAGAAAGGUUGAGGGAACUGGGCUUGCUCAGCGUGGAGAAGAGAAGGCUACAGGGAGACCUCAUCGCGACCAUUCGGUACUUGAGGGAGCUUAUAAGCAGAAUGGUGAUUGACAUUUUCUGUGGUCUAAUUAGUGAUGGGACAAGAGGGAAUAUCUUAAAACUAAAAGAAGGGAGAUGUAGGUCAGAUGUUAGGCAGAAACUCUUUACUCAGAGGGUGGUGAGGCUCUAGCACAGUCUGUGUUUUGUGAUUCUAUAAAUGUCACCUUCAAUGGAGGCAACUGAAAAAACAAGUAUUUUCUCAGAGAAAAAGUAUGUUUCCCUCUAUUUUUUGAUACACAGUGAGCCCUUAAAGCAGAAGGACUGAAUGACAUCCCCUAACUGAAGCAUGCUCAGAGGUAGGGGAGCAAGCACAGGCAGCCUGUUCUGGAAUUUCUUCUUACAGAAAGUUGUCCCAGUUGAGUUUUUAUAGCUGUUAAACUCAGUAGAACUCUGGGGCUGAAGUACAACAAUACCAAAAUACGAACAUAAAAUACAUAUGCAUUGCAGUUUCAUUCUUCAGUGGGGAUAGAUAAAAAGGAGUACAGGGAGGCUUCUGAUAACUCUGAGAUAUAAAUUUUAGCACUUGCAACACAGUGGCCAACGAAGAGUGCAGCAACAGCCUGGAGGGGUAAGAUCUGGCCUGCAAUAUAUCACUAUUGACACUGCAUGUGUUGAUCCUUCUUUUUCUUUUUAAAAUGAAUGGAAGACAAAGACUAAAGUGGCCUGUGAUGUUGUCAUGUGAAUACUGCAAGCAGUGGUUCCUAUAUGAUCCAUUAAAAUUUGUUUUUCUUCUUUUAUGACCUAAAAGAAGAACCAAACAGACUUUAAGAAUAUUUCUUCUUGGACAAAAAAUGGAAUCCUGAAACCUCCUGCAAGUUUAUGCCCAGAUUGUAUUGUAUUUCUUGUACAAGAAGGGGAAAAACACUUUUAAGUCAAACUUUUGAUUCAGUCAUUUCAGCUCCCAAAAUUGCACUCAGGUUCCCUAAACUUCAAGGUGUACAAGACACCCAGAUGAUUCUGAUGGAUAUGACAAAGUCAAUUGGAGAUUUUUCCAGGGGCAGCUGGGACUGGUAGUAAAGAACUUGACAUAAGCCAUAGGUACUUCACCAUACCCUUUUCUGAUCACCAUCGUUCAGGAUUUUCUUCCCAUCAGUGGAAAACAAAUCCUGGAAGGUCCUCUCUGGACUCUAUGAACUGCGAAGGACCCCUGCAGAAAAGGACUUUUAGAAUUUGGUGGGCUGCUGCUGAGCCAGGAGCCGGAGAACAGCAGCCAUUCAAUAGCAUCCUCAGGAUCAUCGGUUCUACUUUCUGAAAGGAAGGAAUUAUGCUUUUCAGAAACAAUGUAUGUCUAUGUCAGUGAUGUUUAUGUGCAGUUUAGACCUUUUGUGGCUUAUUUGUUACACUGAAGAGUGGAAGAAUGUUUUUUGUUUUGUUUUGUUUUUUAAUACAGGGCUAUGUUUGAGGCUUGCUUAAGUAAUAAUGCUAAAUUCAUAUGAAACUCCUGAAGUCUUUGUGUUUCCCACUGUUUUGACAGUACCCACCCACCAAGAGUACUAAUUAGAGGCAAAAUAUAGUGCAGACCAAUCAUUUAUUUUUAUAGCGCACUCCUCAACACACACUUCCUAAUGUCCUUUACUCUCAUUAAAAUCCAAUCAACUAGAAGUAUUCCUUAUUAAGUGGCCCAUGAAGUAAUUUUCUAAUUUUAGAACAAAGGGAUGUGAAGGCUAUUGCCUGUUUAAAAUACAUUCUAACGGCAUACUCAGGAGAAAGAAGAGAUAUAUGCCACCCUCUCAAGAUAUCUAAGGGAGAUCUAGGCAUCUCAAGGGAGUUCUUAUGAAAAGAGCCCCCAAAUAUUGGGACCGACAUUUCAUUGCCUCAGUCCGUGCUACUUCUCCUGCUGUGUUUUCACUGUAUUUUUGAUUACAGCUUUGAAAGAGGAAAGCGCAAACAAAAAGACCAAAACAGCAAAAAGGAGAAGUAUAUUAAAAAAAAGAAAAAAAGAAAGGAAAAAAAAAAAGUACAAGGAAACAAGAGAAAAGAAAUGAGUAUUUGUUCAUACCAGGUGCAGAGACAAAGUAAUAUUUUCAGCUCCUGUCAAAAAACACUUUUUGCCACAAAAGAAAGGAAGGGUGGGAACACACAUCUGAGGGAGCAUGUUGAGAUGUUACGUUUCCAGUAUCUUCAGUGUUUAGAAGCUUUGUUAUUUUACUAACUUUUGUAAGAAAGUGAGAUUCUACAUCAGUAAAGUGAAAUACAGGUAUUAUUUACACAUUCUGUCAAGAGAGUUAGAAAUAUUCUACUUCAUCUGCAGAAGCAUCAGACUCAACAAAAGGUUUUGUCUUGCUGGAAAGCUGUAGUAAACGCCAUAUGAGGAAGACCAGUUUGUUAUCACCUGAGGCAACAAUAGAAUCUAAAGGGAAACUGAGUGAAAAAAAGAACCCCAGCAUUGUUGUCACAGCCAAUAGUGUUAACAUUUCAAGCUGUAUGCUGGCAUCUGAACUGAGAUGCAACUUGGAUGCUGAGUAGCACCAAAUACUCAAGAGUCUGCUGCGGCUGCUGUGAGCAGGCAUCAAGAAAAGGGGCUGCUUUUUGUCAACUCAGUCUUUUUUGUUCUUAUGAGACCACUCAAGUGAAAUUAUUGGAGCUUUUUUUUUUUUUUUUUUUUUUUUUUUUUUUUUUUUUUUUUUCCCACAAGCAGUUUACACAUUUUGGAACCUUUAGCCCAAGUUUAAAAGAUAUAGUCUUGGCUUUACUUACCAGGUUACUUCAGACUCUCUCAGCAGACCAAUCCUCACUAAUCUGGUCAUCUCAUCUCUGGAAGAGGAAGUCUAGAGAUGUCUUAUAGGGGCGUCCUGGGCACAGUCCAGCUGCACACAGGAGUAUGAGUGAAAAUGGAUGUAAAGGCCUUGUCUGCACCGAAUAAGUAGUGUAUGGAGAGCUGGGUCCAAAUCUGGGCUCCUCAGUUCAAGAGGGACACCAACAUGCUGGAGAGAGUUCAACAUGUGGCCACAAAGAUGAAGGGACUGUAGCAUCUGGACAUGAGGACAGGCUGAGACUAUCUAGACUGGAGAGAGAAGCCUCGUGUACAAGUAUAUGAUGAGGUUUUCCUCCACAAAAAUGAAGAGGAGAGGAGAGGAGAGGAGAGGAGAGGAGAGGAGAGGAGA
Long non-coding RNA from Gallus gallus (chicken), 3728 nucleotides. The record is from Ensembl. NCBI's taxonomy places the organism in Eukaryota, Metazoa, Chordata, Aves, Galliformes, Phasianidae.